ACCCGCUGAAUUUAAGCAUAUCAAUAAGCGGAGGAAAAGAAACCAACAGGGAUUCCCUCAGUAGCGGCGAGUGAAGAGGGAAGAGCUCAAGCCGAAAAUCUCCGGCGGCGACGUCGGCGAAUUGUAGUUUGGAGAAGUGUUUUCAACGCGUGGCCGUGCCGGUCAAAGUUGCUUGGAACGGCACGUCGCGGAGGGUGAGAAUCCCGUUUGCGACCGGUCGGCCUGCGCCACGAAGCACUUUCGGAGAGUCGGGUUGUUUGGGAAUGCAGCCCAAAGCGGGUGGUAAACUCCAUCUAAAGCUAAAUAUGAGCGCGAGACCGAUAGCGAAAAAGUACCGUGAGGGAAAGAUGAAAAGCACUUUGAAAAGAGAGUUAAAGAGUACGUGAAACCGUUGAAGGGGAAACGAAUGCGACCAGCAAAGCACCCGUUGCAGAUUCAGCCGCGUCGGACGGCGUCGGUCGGCGUGCGGAUUCUUGUGAACCGCCGUCGGCCAGGCGGUUGUCGGACGCGUCGCAAUUCUGCCCGGUGCGAGCCAACGUCGGUUGACAGUCACGUCCGGCCUCUGCGUCAGGUGUCCCGCGGUCUCGCGACCGGGGGCGUUACAGUCGCGGAGUGCAGCGGCGUGACGGUCGACCGAGGAGACGAAGUGAUCGGUGGCGGCCCGCGCUUGUGGCUAGUGGCGGUGGACGGGCGUCGGGCGCACGCCAGCGGACUGCUUGCAGUGCGCAGGAGGUGCGACCGGGUCGUUGUCUGCUUGCUCUUUCAUACACGGGCCUCGGACGUUGGCGGUGAAAUGGUCUCAUCCGACCCGUCUUGAAACACGGACCAAGGAGUCUAACAUGUGUGCGAGUCGUGGGGUAGGAAACCUUGUGGCGCAAUGAAAGUGAUUGUGGAGACGAGAAGCUCUUCGUUGCUGCGGGGAGCCGCAUCGUCGGCCGACCUGACCUGUUUUCAGAAAGGU
RNAcentral lists this ribosomal RNA (961 nucleotides) under Oscarella kamchatkensis. RNAcentral's name for it is "eukaryotic LSU rRNA". It matches the Rfam family "Eukaryotic large subunit ribosomal RNA", at positions 23 to 789 of the family's 3401-position model. The record is from RNAcentral. Lineage: Eukaryota; Metazoa; Porifera; Homoscleromorpha; Homosclerophorida; Oscarellidae.